CGGGGCGCGCGGCGGGCAGGACUGGCCCCCAGCCCGCGCCCGCCGCCCAGUGCUGCGCACAGCCGGUUUUCGCCGGGAGAUGAAAGACUGGUCUCAAGGGACUCAGGUCAUCGGGACGUGGCGACCCCACACGCUGGCUGCUUAGACCAGCGCGUCCUGGAGGAGUUUCUCCCAAGUCGGCGAUUGAGUUUAUUUAAUGGGGAUGCGGCACAGCGUGACCAGCUUCCCUCCAAUGGCAACAAUGCGGAAAACUGUGGACCACGUCACAGCCGGAACCCUGACACCAGUACAACCAAGUACAAAGCAUCACCCUCACCGGGUGCCCACUCCCAGCCACGCUCCGGGCCCUCGAGCAGCAGUUUUAACGUCUUGUCCAGCGUUUAUGGUUGUGAUCUUCGGGAGGACCGGCUCCGGGGAGGGGCUGCUCUGCACAAGCGGAACCUGCUCCUCUCUGUGGGUGUGUUACGGAAGUUUCCACAUUUCUUCACCUGUGGAAAGCUUCCCCCCAGUUUUUCCUUUAUCUAUCAUGUUUAUUCCCACGAAGAGUUUAAAAAGUGUGACACAGUUAAUUUUAUCCGCCCUUCUCUCAGUGCCUCUGGAUUUUGUAUCCAGAGGUGUCCAGGUCUGCUCAGAGCAGUCUUCUUCAUCCCAAGAUCAUAAAAAUGGGCACCUCUACUCUCCCCAUGACCUCUCUUUCCUUCUUCUUUCACAUUUAAGUCCUUGAUCCAUCUGAAAUGUAUUUAAUACAUGGAAUGAAGAAUAAAGAUUGGAGUUUGUUUUACCAAAUGGAUAAUUGUUUAUGCUAAUAUCACUUACUAAAUAAUUUAUCAUUUAAAUAUUUUAUUGUGGGUCCUUAAUGUUAACUCUUAAACGUCAGUACUGCUGUUGCUGUUUCACAGAUGAGGUAUCUGAGAUCAAGAUGAAUAAGUUAUUCAAGGUCACACAGCUAAAAACUUGAAAAGCCGGAAUCAGGUCAGGUUUGCAGGCUCCAUGCUCCACCCCCUCCCCUUCCCAACUGUAAACCACCUCAUCUAAUGUCAGAGCUCCAGGGGCCCGGGAGCUGCAUCUCCGGGAGAUGGCGAUUCGGGGAAGCUGCCAACAGCACGAGAGUUUGCGGGCUUAGAGUCCAGAGCUGCCGGAUGGGAGACGUUGUGUCCUUGUGGCACGGAGACAGCUAUCCUAAGCAUCUCAGCCCACACCAGGUUUGGCUUCACGUUGCACUAGCAAGAUUCUGUUGUCAAUUUCAAAGUCGUGUAUUGCUAUCUGAGAUGCACUGAUUAGAUUCAAAUGGGAAGACUUGGGAGAAAUAGGAAGAUUUCUGCUUAAGAGAGAGGAGAGAGGGAGUUGGCUGGUGGCUGGUACAUUCCUUCCCGUUAUCCCACACUUUUGUGGUGGGAAAAAGCUUGCGUUGCUGCGAGGUGAGAUGGAGGAAAAGCAGUUGGCUUGGCAGACAGACCAUGAGGGAUUCUCCACAACGGGGCCCAGUGGGAAAGGCCAGUUCCUCUCAUUACCCGUCACAUUCCACAGGGAAAUCAGCUGGAAAACGUGACAUCAUGUCCAGUCUCUGAGUCCUGAAUGAGUCUGUGGUUCCUGACCCAGGAGAAGAGCAUGUGCUGUUAAAUAGCAAAGUGCGGGUGUCAUAAUGCAGGGCUCUGGGACAUCCAGGGCCCUCUUCACACCGCUUCUCCUCGGAGCCCCUGGGAGCAAGUGACACAAGUGUGUAUGCGAAAACAUGCCAGAGUCUCCAGUGGACCCUGGACCUCAGGAGUCUGCAAUAUGGGAUUCACGGUGGAGCACGAUCUGUGAUAGUGGUGGAGACUGAGCACAGGGAGGGUGCACUGGAACGUUCCCUGGAGGUUAAGCCUUAGACGUCAGCAUCUGGCCCACGCUCAUUCCCAGGUGCAGAUGGAGCCAUGGAGGGUCUGGAGCUGUGGAGUGAAGGAUGCGGCUGUGCAGCCGGGUGCAGAGGGAGCCAUGGAAGGUCUGGAGCUGUGGAGUGAAGGAUGCGGCUGUGCAGCCGGGUGCAGAUGGAGCCAUGGAAGGUCUGGAGCUGUGGAGUGAAGGAUGCGGCUGUGCAGCCGGGUGCAGAUGGAGCCGUGGAAGGUCUGGAGCUGUGGAGUGAAGGAUGCGGCUGUGCAGCCGGGUGCAGAUGGAGCCGUGGAGGGUCUGGAGCUGUGGAGUGAAGGAUGCGGCUGUGCAGCCGGGUGCAGAUGGAGCCAUGGAAGGUCUGGAGCUGUGGAGUGAAGGAUGCAGCUGUGCAGCCAGGUGCAGAUGGGUUUGGGCUGGUGGGAGUGGAGGCUCAUUCGAGCUGAGAGGACAUUGAAAGAGGCUAUGGCCGAACUGCCCAUCCUCCAUUCGGUGAUGGAGACGUGGACUGUGUAAUGGGGACUGAGGGAAGGGCAGAAGCAGGUGCGCUGACACAGAAGUGACAACCCUGCAGGGCCCUCAACGCUCCCCAUUGCCUUCAGUGACCAGGCUCGAGCUCCGCCCUGCUGCACGUCUGCUCCCUGCCUCUCCCUCCAGCCUCACCUCUUUCCACCUCCACCCAUCUGUGUGCCUGAUGCUGAGCGUCUUG
This is a long non-coding RNA of Equus asinus (donkey), 2575 nucleotides long. The record is from Ensembl. Lineage: Eukaryota; Metazoa; Chordata; Mammalia; Perissodactyla; Equidae.